AGUUUUAAAUACUCAAGAGUCCCCCAAAAUACUCUAAGCAAACCAAAACCAAAAGAAACCAAGGAAAAUAGAAAUUAUUACAAGGAAAAACUCAAUGAACGUCAAGAUACUGAACCAAUACAAAUGCUCUGUUGAAGAACGUCUUUUCUAAUGAAAUAUGAUUUCUGACGUGCUCUGAUUUUCCAUCUGUUUUACCACACAGGAGCUGCAAGAACUGCACUCAGCUAUGGAAGAAGCUAGAGCUGAUAUUGUUGGCCUCUGGGCCCUACGAUUUCUAAUUGGUCAGUAUUUACAUGUAUCUUGAAACUUGAUCAAGUAUUAGUCUGUAGCUCUCCAUAAGCUUAUGAUUUUGUAUGGGAUGCAUUUUUAAUGCUGCUUGGUGCAUGAUUUAUGGAAUGCCAAUAGUGAGUAGCA
Non-coding RNA from Camellia sinensis, 414 nucleotides. The record is from RefSeq and is a predicted model, not a curated record. Lineage: Eukaryota; Viridiplantae; Streptophyta; Magnoliopsida; Ericales; Theaceae.